This 73-nucleotide small RNA is filed under the name Erwinia billingiae. Its description in RNAcentral is "Enterobacterial sRNA STnc240". It matches the Rfam family "Enterobacterial sRNA STnc240". Lineage: Bacteria; Pseudomonadati; Pseudomonadota; Gammaproteobacteria; Enterobacterales; Erwiniaceae. The record is from Rfam by way of RNAcentral.
UCCGUCUGGUGCAGAAUAUGCGCCCUGCAAAAUGAAUCUAUAACCGACGCUUAUGCGCCGGUUAUUUUUUUGC